UGGGAAGGAGGGAGUGAGGGUGGACUAACGUUACUCGACUGUGACUGUGGACGUCGUCACCGCCACAACGGUUAGUCGUUUCAAUUUUGUUGUUAUUGUUGAUAACUGGUUCGUAACAGUUUACGUGAUUUUGGGUUGAAGCCAUAAUUGGAUUGUGUUGGUUAUGGGGUUGUUGGGGGUUUGUUGGAUUCUCGAUUUCUGAGCCCAUUAGGGAGAGAAUCAUAGAAGAAGGGUUAUGAAAAGGGAUGGGAUUUUAUGCAGUUUAGGAUUUCAAAAUAACAAUAGAUUAAUAGGAGAUUCAUCUGUAAGAAUGAGUUUAGAAUAUUAGGGUUAGAUUCACUUCAACUUUGAACUUGUAAGCAAGAAAACUGAAAUUAAAAUUAAUUAAUUGACUAGUUGUUAAAAGUACAAUUUUUUUUCUUACAAAAAUUAUUAUAUAAAUUUGUACAAACUAAAAUGAAAAAAAGUCAAAUGUUUGGAUGAUUAUUAUGCUAAUUUUCUUAAAUAAUUUUUUUAGAUUCAAAUGAUUUUGAUAUAUUGUGUAUGAUUUUAAUUUAAUUAACUAAAUUUGUAUUCUACAAAAUAAGUUUUUAACUUAAAUUUAAAAAAUAUUAAUUUGAUUAGGGAGUAUGGCCAUUGCGAAGAUGUACAAAUUGAUAUAAAAGAAUUCCUCACAGAUUAAAUAAUAAAAUAUACUUUUAUUCAAUUGUUUUAUUUAUUAAAGAUAUUUAUUGCUUUAUAAGUAUUUUAAAUUAUAUAUCUUUUAAAGGGAAGAGUUCUAUUAAUGGGCACUUUGAAAUGUUGAUUAAAGAAUUAAUGUAUAGAAUAUAUGUUUGAGUACUUCAAAUUAAAAAAAAUGGAGAAUAAAGAAUAUUAAUAAUAUUUAAUUACAAAACCAAUUAUUUGUAUUGUAACUAACGUCAUAAUUAGUAUAUAUGUACUUUUUUUCCUUAUAAAUUUAACUUAUGAUUUUCAAAUUGAUAAUUAUUAGUACAUUUUAUUUUCUUUAAUGCAAUCUCUCAUUUUAGAUAUCGGAUGUUACUGAUGCAAUUUAAUUUCAUAUAUAUAUAUAUAUAUUAUAUAUGAAGCAAUAUUUAAUUUUUAUGAAGCAAACAUAAGGGGUUCGAUUUGUUUUAUUUUUAUUUUAAAUAUAAUAUCAAAUUCAAAUAAGAUUUAAUGUUUGACUAUUUUUUAAAAAAAAAUUGUUUAUACAGGACACUCUACAUUAUUUUCAAUAACAAAUUCACACGAUAGAAAGUACUAUUAUUUGUUUUUUUAGUUGAAUUAGUUCUUAUUUUUUAUUAGUUUUGUGGUUUAAAGUGAUUUUAUUUUAUUUUAAACACCUUUAAUGCAAAUUAAAUAAUGAAAAAACUAUUAAAAUCACUAUAAAUAUAUAUUAAUAGCAUUAAAUGUUAGUCCCAAGUGAAUGAUUGGAUAAUAUUGAAUUUCUAUUCAUCUCUUUGAAUUUUGCCGCUUACUCUUUUCAUUAAAUCUUAUAUGUCCUUAUAAAUACAGUUUACUUUUAAUAAAACUUAUUAGCAUUUUUAACACGUGUAUUUUAAAAAAGUGCCUAUUAUGGUAAAUAUUAUGACUCUUUGAAUAUUAUUAUUGAGUAAGUACAAUUUUCAUUAAGUUCAAAGUGACAUUAUAAGUUAUAACCCCGGUUACUUUUUCGUAGAGGUAGAUUAUAAAAACUUAUGGAACAUAUUUGUAAUGGGUAAAUUAAAUGAUAAUACAAAAACUGAAAAUUUAUAAAUUAUAUAGUAUUUAAUAGUGUAAAAAGAAAUAUUUUAUAUUAAUAAGAUGAUUAAAAAUAGAAUCCAUGUAAAGUUGACUGGGCUUGAAAGUGUGUAGAGUUGACAAGUUUGAAGAGUUAAAUAGAUUCAGACACAAUCAAAGAUCGACAACAGACACAAACCGUCUUAACCCCACCUAAUGAACAAACUAUACUAAAUUAUUCAUGUCUAAUAUUAAAACAUUCAUUCAAGAUGAGACUCGAGCUAAACCUCAAGAUUCACGACAUUUGACGUUAACUUCUUCAUAUAUGUCAUAUUCAUGCAUUAGAGUGACUCACAAUUAUGUAAUUUUUAGUUCACUUGGGUAACUCGAUUGUAAGAUUAUGAAUUUCAAUUUUUUGAUAAAUUUUUAUUAUGGCUAUUGGUUCUAUAUUACUCUGAAAAACUCCAUAAAUUUUUAUUAUUCAUUCUAUAUUACUUCAUAUAUUUUUAUGAGUCUUACAAGGAGGAUUUAUACGGAUGCAGAUUUAAAAAACUCAUCAACUACCCAGCUCCAAUUAAAGAUAUUAUGAAGGCCAAUUCUUUUCUUAAAAUCGGACCCACCCAUUUUAUCCUAAUAAUAUUCAUCAUAUUAUAUAUAUAGAGAGAGAAUAAUGUUUGUGCAUGAGAUAGACAGGGCCGUAAGAGGUCCAUAUUGGGAGAAAGAAAGAUGUAUUGGGCUUUUGCAUCCUAUAUCCUCAUAAUUGACUGCAGACUCUUUCUUCUAUGUAUUGGGCUUUUGCAUCCUAUAUCCUCAUAAUUGACUGCAGACUCUUUUUUCCUACACCUCCAUACCUUAUUGUGCCACCCCAUAUUAAAUAUGAAAAUAUUAUUUUAUCCUUUUUUUCCCACCUUUUGGAUUUGAAAUAAUAAGCCUAUGGAUUAUGUAAUCCGAAAUAUAUUCAGAUUACAUAAUCCAGAAGUCAAUCUCAUAUUUAGAAAAGACUUCCAGAUUAUGUAAUCCGGAAGCUAAUCACACAUCUGAAAAAAAAAAGCUUUCAGAUCACAUAAUCCGAAAGCUAAUCUUAUGUAUAGAAAAUACUUUCGGAUUAUGUAAUCCAGAAGCUAAUCACAAAAGGCUUCUGGAUUACAUAAUCUGGAAGCUAAUUCUGGAUUUAGAAAACGACUUCCGGAUUAUGUAAUCUGGAAUAUUAAAAAGGAUAUUUUUAGAAUACAAAAACUUAUGAAAGUGGCACAAGAAAGUAUGGACGUGCAGUAAGAAUCAGCCUUGACUGCAUUCACCAUAAAAUUUUAAAAUACCCGCUUUACCUUUUGGCAUUUUAUUUGAAAGCUUCUCAUCCUUUUUUGACAGUUUUCUUUUGCUUCCGAUUUUCUUCAUUGAGGUUAAAAGCUGAAGUAUUCCCACGAACUUUGGUGGUGGUGAUUUGAAGUUGGCUAACUUGGGGUACACGAAGAAGGUAUGGAUAAAUAGUUUAAUUUUGUCUGGUUUUGUUUUAAUGGGCGUAUAUCUGUCUUCCAAAUUAUGAAUUCUAUAAAAGAGACUUUCCGAAAACAUAUUUUGGAACACAGUUAUUAUUUUCUAAAAGGUAUUUUUUAAAAUUUUAGAAAGCACAUUUGGAAACACUAAUAUACCUAUUCUAGAAUGAGGAAUUUAGAAAUUUUCUGGAACGACAAUUUUGGAAGCCAAUUGUCAGAGGUUAUUUAAGGAAGUAUUUCAUUUACGUUUCAGAACUACAAAAAAAUGUGUAUGAAGUGACGGUUUUAAUAUGACGAUUACAAGUAUCUGUAUAAUACGACAUUUUAGUAAUCGUCACAAUUAUCUUAUAAAACGUGUCAUUUUGAAUUGACACAAUUCUCCUUCGAAAUAAACACUUCGUGUUUUCCUUCCCUCCAUACACCAUUCCUCAUUAUUUCCAAUUUUUUUUUAAACCUCCUUUUGACUCUUGGAAACCGAAUACAAUUAAUUAAUUCUUCACAAACCCUUCCAUUGGAUUUUGAAAUCAAACGUAACUCUUCUCUCUCUCUAUCUGCAAACUCUUCACAAACCCUCUCCUCACGUUCACGAAACCCUACCACGAAACACUCUUGCCUUCACUCACUCUAGCGCGGCCUAAACAUAACCCUCACUCUCCCGCCCUUCACUUUCCGCCAUCACCGCCUCCUCGCAAGGAUUUCAAACUUCUGUCCGCCAUCGUUUGUUCAAGUUUGUGCUCUAUAACCUUGUCUUCGAAAUCUAUUGCUGGAUUGCCUUUGUCGUGGGAAAUCUACUGUGGUUCUUAAUUUGUGAAAUCUAUUGUGAAUGGUUUUGCUGCGAAGAAUAGAGAUGUCCUUUAAAUUUAACUUGUGGUUUAUCCUUCACUUGCCAAAAGAAUAGUCAGUUUGUGAUCUAAUGCUCAGUUUUGAUAUGCUUGAGUGUUGGUGCUAUUGUCUGAACCAUGUGAAUCGUGAGUUGCAAUUCAUGUAUAAUACACUCCCAAAUAUGAUUGUAUGCAAUAUGAUCAUGUCUACAACUUACGGGUGUGCUAUUUCAUUAAGAAAAUAAUUGAACGUGUUGAUGCAGUCUUGGUAGUUGGCAUCUUGCAGUACUCUAAAUAAUUUGAUUAUUCAUUCAGGCUUUGGAUGUGCUCAUUGAAUCAUACUUUGACAGUGAAUUAUACAAAAAUAAAAUAUGGGUUGGAACUGUUGAAGGUAUUCUAUUAGAUAUUUUCAUUUUAUUGAUUGACUUUAUUUGGUUUAGUAAUUUCACUUUACCUGUGCAUGUCUUCUUGUUUAUUUCAUUGAGCCCCACCAUCUUGAUAAGUUCUUUUGGAGAGGAGAAUUUGAUGACGAGCAUGAUGAUUUCAAACGAUUUUCAUUUUUUAGUCGUGUUGCUCUUGAUUUUCUUCUGCAAUUUGGCGAGAAGCUAGAUAUCAUUCAUUGCCAGCUGUGUAAUUCUUUCUAGCAAAUUUUUGCUCUUUUAGUCACUAAUUGAAUGGCAUCUUUGUUUCUUUGCUAGGCUCCUCUGUACUGGAAGAUAUUUGUAAAUAAAGGAUUAAAUUCAGCUAGGAUAUGCUUUGUAUAUCAAUGAAAUAUACCAGUUCUAUAUCAGUGAAAUAUAUUCACUUCUCAACAUCAUGAUUAUUUUGCAAUGCAUUCUUUCACACACUUACUAUGUAAAAUAUAUUAGUAAAUCUUUUAUGCCUUGUAUUGUGACUUUUCAUUAUUCUUAUGGUUAUUUAUAUUAUCAGAAUACAAUAUAUGUAUGUUUAUUUUAAUUUAGAAGAGUUCAUUUUAUACAUUCCAUUAUGAUUAUUUGUUUCCUAUCUUCAGGUAAAACAACUAAUAGAAAGCAUAAUCAGGAGUAAAAGGAGUGAAACCUCAAUCCUAGUAAGAUUCUUUUGACUCUACAUGUAUUUCUUUUUCGUAUAAUUGUUUCUUUCUGUAUUGAUUCUGUAACAAUUCAAAUAGGAAGUGAAUAACGUUGAUGGCAGGUGGUGCAUAAAAUUUGUCAACAAAACUUUGAUAACUUAUUGUUCAUGAAAUAAUGUUUGUCAAUAAAGCUAGUAGAUACUCAUAAAUUCCAUUCCUUAAGAUAGUAUUUGUUAAGAGUGGAUCAGGAAUUGGAAGUAUUAUAGAGCCACAUUCUAUUGUUCCUUUAAAUGAUGAGUUGCAACGAGCAAGAAUUUUGGUAGCAAAGGCUAAAGCAUAUGUGCUUUUGACAUUAACCAAAAAGGUUACAAUUGUGAUAUUAUAAAUAUUCUAAUGGUCAUGUUCUUUUUUUCUCAUAUGAUGCCUUAAUUUUUGUACAUAUGUAGUUGGAUCUUGAUGAUAUUAAAAAGAUAUUAAACAGUUUGGUUCAACUAGAUGUGGUAAAUACCUUGUAAUGUUUUUAAAGAGAAUUGGAUCACCAUUUCUCGUUUGCUCUCUCUAUAUUCCACUAUAUGCAAUUAUUCUCAUGCGAUAUUUACUUUGUUGCCUUUCAAGGAGUUUGUUUACUGGUUUUCUUCCGAUGAUCAUUCCUUGAGAGUUUUCUUAUUUUUUAUUUGAAUUGUGAGAUAUAUGAUUUGAUUACAUUAAAUAGGGAUAUGUGAUAUGAUAAGCAAUUAAUUCAAUAAGUAUAUUAUUUUCCAAGUAAAUAAUAUAUUGCUUUUGAAUAAAAAAUGUGUUUGGUCUGGUAACUUUUUAUUGCAUCUAACAUCAAAAAAGCUCUGCUUGUAAUAAUAAUGAAGGAUUCUAGCCGGUGUCUUUGUAUCAUCAUUUGUAAUUUGUUUUUAUUACUGAUUAACUGGAGGGAACUAAGUUAUCUGAUCCGAUUUACAAAUUGGCAUAGUUUGGAAAUUAUUUGAAGUUGAUUUUUGGAGGGUUUUCUGUUUAUCUAUAUAUUAAGAAAAGAAUAGAGAGACCUACAAUUCAUUCUCAUCCAUUCUCAACGUUCUUUAACUUUAAACUAGUGCGUUUCCUAACUUUUCAAUCUUAAAAAACAAUUGUUCCAAUGAAAAUACAGGGAGGGCAUGGUCUCGAUUCAACACUCUUUUCUCAAUGAGGUAUUAAUAUAUUUAAAUAUUUAUUUGUGCCUUUUAUUUUAUAAUUAUAAACAUUGAAAAUCAUUAACUUCAAAUUAUUUAUUUCAGGCAUCAGAUAUUGGAAGCGGUGCUUCAUCACCUAAUCAAGUAAUAGGAUAAAGUGCUGAAAGCAAAAUUGAUGCAAAAGUGUAGGACAUAAAUAUUAUGAGGUACGUAAAAUCAAAGUACGUAACAUAUUAAUAAAUUAAACAACUAAACGUCUAAUAAACAAUAAAUUACUCCACAUAAAAUUUUCAUAUACAUCUAUGUCAUGACCUCCUAAUGUACACAAUCCUUUUUCUUUUUCUGUAGCUUCUCAUGCAAAGAUGAGGGUUGUGUAUGUCCCAUUCCUCACAAGGGUACCCUCAACAUGACCUUUGUUAACCAUCAACUAUGGAGUCAAGGUUAUGCAACAACAUAUAUUCUACAAAAUAAAAAUAAAUUACAAUUAUAUCAAACAUGUAAAUAAUAAAUGAUAUGUCUUACUAGAGUGUGAUGCUUUGUAUGAUUGUCAUCUUCAUCACCCCAACUCCAACAUCAACAUGCACAUUUGACGGUAUCAUUGUUGGAUGCUCAUCCUCAACCAUGUGUAUGAUAUAUGAAUGUAAUACACAACAAAACCAAUCCAUAUAUCUUGGAAUAAAAACUCUUGCAUGAGAGGCAAUAACCACAUCUUGCAUAACAUAUUGUUGAAAAUAUAACCACCGCCAAUUUCCUUCUAUUGUUGAUAGAUUCUCAUCUCUUAUAAUUGAUGGAUCAUGUGGUAUGUUGUGCACAUACCCAUAGUGGCGUAGGACAUGUUCAUGGAAGUUCAACUGUCUGCAUAUGCCC
RNAcentral lists this long non-coding RNA (7108 nucleotides) under Phaseolus vulgaris (common bean). RNAcentral's name for it is "long non-coding RNA (PVUL_LNC000803)". The record is from RNAcentral. Lineage: Eukaryota; Viridiplantae; Streptophyta; Magnoliopsida; Fabales; Fabaceae.